This 1343-nucleotide ribosomal RNA is filed under the name uncultured bacterium. RNAcentral describes it as "16S ribosomal RNA". It matches the Rfam family "Bacterial small subunit ribosomal RNA", at positions 28 to 1378 of the family's 1533-position model. The record is from RNAcentral.
GACGAACGCUGGCGGCGUGCUUAACACAUGCAAGUCGAACGGAAAGGCCCUGCUUUUGUGGGGUGCUCGAGUGGCGAACGGGUGAGUAACACGUGAGUAACCUGCCCUUGACUUUGGGAUAACUUCAGGAAACUGGGGCUAAUACCGGAUAGGAGCUCCUGCUGCAUGGUGGGGGUCGGAAAGUUUCGGCGGUUGGGGAUGGACUCGCGGCUUAUCAGCUUGUUGGUGGGGUAGUGGCUUACCAAGGCUUUGACGGGUAGCCGGCCUGAGAGGGUGACCGGCCACAUUGGGACUGAGAUACGGCCCAGACUCCUACGGGAGGCAGCAGUGGGGAAUAUUGCACAAUGGGCGGAAGCCUGAUGCAGCAACGCCGCGUGCGGGAUGACGGCCUUCGGGUUGUAAACCGCUUUCGCCUGUGACGAAGCGUGAGUGACGGUAAUGGGUAAAGAAGCACCGGCUAACUACGUGCCAGCAGCCGCGGUGAUACGUAGGGUGCGAGCGUUGUCCGGAUUUAUUGGGCGUAAAGGGCUCGUAGGUGGUUGAUCGCGUCGGAAGUGUAAUCUUGGGGCUUAACCCUGAGCGUGCUUUCGAUACGGGUUGACUUGAGGAAGGUAGGGGAGAAUGGAAUUCCUGGUGGAGCGGUGGAAUGCGCAGAUAUCAGGAGGAACGCCAGUGGCGAAGGCGGUUCUCUGGGCCUUUCCUGACGCUGAGGAGCGAAAGCGUGGGGAGCGAACAGGCUUAGAUACCCUGGUAGUCCACGCUGUAAACGGUGGGUACUAGGUGUGGGGUCCAUUCCACGGGUUCCGUGCCGUAGCUAACGCUUUAAGUACCCCGCCUGGGGAGUACGGCCGCAAGGCUAAAACUCAAAGGAAUUGACGGGGCCCCGCACAAGCGGCGGAGCAUGCGGAUUAAUUCGAUGCAACGCGUAGAACCUUACCUGGGUUUGACAUGGAUCGGGAGUGCUCAGAGAUGGGUGUGCCUCUUUUGGGGUCGGUUCACAGGUGGUGCAUGCCUGUCGUCAGCUCGUGUCGUGAGAUGUUGGGUUAAGUCCCGCAACGAGCGCAACCCUUGUUCACUGUUGCCAGCACGUUAUGGUGGGGACUCAGUGGAGACCGCCGGGGUCAACUCGGAGGAAGGUGGGGAUGACGUCAAGUCAUCAUGCCCCUUAUGUCCAGGGCUUCACGCAUGCUACAAUGGCUGGUACAGAGAGUGGCGAGCCUGUGAGGGUGAGCGAAUCUCGGAAAGCCGGUCUCAGUUCGGAUUGGGGUCUGCAACUCGACCCCAUGAAGUCGGAGUCGCUAGUAAUCGCAGAUCAGCAACGCUGCGGUGAAUACGUUCCCGGG